AACGAACGCUGGCGGCAGGCCUAACACAUGCAAGUCGAGCGCCCCGUAAGGGGAGCGGCAGACGGGUGAGUAACGCGCGGGGACGCAUCCCCUGGUUCGGAACAAAUCCGCGAAACUGGAGCUAAUACCGGAAAAGACCUAAUGGGGAAAGAUUUAUCGCCAAAAGAUCGGCCCGCGUCGGAUUAGCUCGUUGGUGUGGUAAAAGCUCAUCAAGGCGACGAUCAGUAGCUGGUCUGAGAGGAUGAUCAGCCACACUGGGACUGAGACACGGCCCAGACUCCUACGGGAGGCAGCAGUGGGGAAUAUUGGACAAUGGGAGAAAGCCUGAUCCAGCCAUGCCGCGUGAGUGAUGAAGGCCUUAGGGUUGUAAAGCUCUUUUGCCCGGGAAGAUAAUGACUGUACCGGGAGAAUAAGCCCCGGCUAACUUCGUG
This 431-nucleotide ribosomal RNA is filed under the name uncultured bacterium. RNAcentral's name for it is "partial 16S ribosomal RNA". It matches the Rfam family "Bacterial small subunit ribosomal RNA", at positions 29 to 507 of the family's 1533-position model. The record is from RNAcentral.